GGGCCCACCAGUAAGGGCAAAACAUGGACCUCCUUUUCUCCCUCUCGGUCUCCCUCCUGCUGCCGCCUCCAGACGGCAGCGCCGCCACCGGAGCCGGCGGCCCUGCCUCCUCUCCCUUCCCCCUUCUUCCUAUCUCCCUUCUUCCCUCAUCUCUCGCCCCCUUCGACCUCUCUCCCUCUCUCUCGUUCUCCCUCUGUUUUCUCCUCACCACAGCUGCGCCCAGCCGCC
Molecule: long non-coding RNA, 228 nt
Filed under: Salvia miltiorrhiza (redroot sage)
Lineage: Eukaryota; Viridiplantae; Streptophyta; Magnoliopsida; Lamiales; Lamiaceae
Description: long non-coding RNA (SMIL_LNC002444)
Source: RNAcentral